Molecule: transfer RNA, 75 nt
Filed under: Bacilli bacterium
Lineage: Bacteria; Bacillati; Bacillota; Bacilli
Description: tRNA-Gln
Rfam family: tRNA
About the family: Transfer RNA (tRNA) molecules are approximately 80 nucleotides in length. Their secondary structure includes four short double-helical elements and three loops (D, anti-codon, and T loops).
Source: RNAcentral
UGGGGUAUAGCCAAGCGGUAAGGCAUCAGACUUUGACUCUGAUAUGCAAUGGUUCGAAUCCAUUUACCCCAGCCA